This 292-nucleotide ribosomal RNA is filed under the name uncultured bacterium. RNAcentral describes it as "partial 16S ribosomal RNA". It matches the Rfam family "Bacterial small subunit ribosomal RNA", at positions 505 to 796 of the family's 1533-position model. The record is from RNAcentral.
GUGUCAGCCGCCGCGGUAAAACGUAGGAGGCGAGCGUUAUCCGGAUUUACUGGGCGUAAAGCGCGUGUAGGCGGCCCGGUCAGUCGGACGUGAAAUCUCCUGGCUCAACUGGGAGGGGCCGUUCGACACUACCGGGCUUGAGGGCAGUAGAGGGAGGUGGAAUUCCGGGUGUAGCGGUGAAAUGCGUAGAUAUCCGGAGGAACACCUGUGGCGAAAGCGGCCUCCUGGACUGCCCCUGACGCUCAGACGCGAAAGCUAGGGGAGCGAACGGGAUUAGAAACCCGCGUAGUCC